Molecule: ribosomal RNA, 470 nt
Filed under: uncultured bacterium
Lineage: Bacteria
Description: bacterial SSU rRNA
Rfam family: Bacterial small subunit ribosomal RNA
Source: RNAcentral
CCAGACUCCUACGGGAGGCAGCAGUGGGGAAUAUUGGGCAAUGGGGGAAACCCUGACCCAGCGACGCCGCGUGAGGGAUGAAGGUCUUCGGAUCGUAAACCUCUGUCAGCAGGGAAGAACGGUCACUGUGCUAAUCAGCAGUGAAUUGACGGUACCUGCAAAGGAAGCACCGGCUAACUCCGUGCCAGCAGCCGCGGUAAUACGGAGGGUGCGAGCGUUAAUCGGAAUUACUGGGCGUAAAGCGCUCGUAGGCGGUAUGUCAAGUCAAGGGUGAAAUCCCGGGGCUCAACCCUGGGACUGCUCUGGAAACUGUAAAGCUGGAGUGCGGGAGGGGCAGGCGGAAUUCCUGGUGUAGCGGUGAAAUGCGUAGAUAUCAGGAGGAACACCGGCGGCGAAGGCGGCCUGCUGGACCGUAACUGACGUUGAGGCUCGAAAGCGUGGGGAGCAAACAGGAUUAGAUACCCCUGUAA